UAAUAAAAUAAAUCAAAUAAUAUAAAUAUACAAAAAUUAAAAGAUGAUUAUAAAACCGCCACAAUUUACCACUUUCCCAUUCUCUCUCGCAGGGGCAUUUUCUUUUUCCUAUCCCAAAGAAUUUGUGAAAGAGAGCAUAGUGAUUUGUUUCGAUAAUAUUGCUCACUUUUUUAUUGGCAUGAUAUCAUUCUCUAAAAAAUUUGUUUCACCCUAAUCAUAUUCGUAAUCCUUUUGUUGCUCAUCAAUUUCAAUAAGUAAUUUGUGACUAUUGUAUUUUUGCAUAUAUUGACUUUUAUGAGAAGACAAUCUUUCAGUGGGAUCAUUUUCAACGACAAAUUAGAAGAUAAUUUGAAAAAAUUGAUCAAAAAAUUCUCCAGGUUUUGAGCUCCGGUCUGUGCGAUUGUUCUGCUUCUAUUUUUAAGGCUUCUGAAGGAGCUUGAGAGAUUCUUCGAGAACUGUCCGCUUUCAAAUGAAAAUCAACAAAAUCAAUUGGCUAGGAAAGCAGAGCUUGAAUCUAAGCAGGUCAGGAUUUGGUAUCAAAUCAAAACGACAUAAAUAAAGGGGUCUAUCAGAAACAACUUUUGUACCUCUGUGAUAGUUCUAUGAUAUGUGCACACGUUAUCUCUCAGGCCCCACUUUCGUUGAUUUACACUGGUUCCGGUCAUUGAAGUGUUUUGGAAUGCGACAUUGAAGAAGGCUUGGGUUCCUUAUUCAUCCAAGUUGGGUAGGUCCUCAACUUUCGAGGGCAAUACCACUAUCUAUCUUAAGGACUUGUUAUGAGUUUAAUACUCAUUCAUUUCUUUCCUUUUCAAUUGUGUAUUAUAUUUUCGUAUGACCUAUAUGUGGUCUUGUUGGA
Molecule: non-coding RNA, 856 nt
Organism: Solanum lycopersicum (tomato)
Lineage: Eukaryota; Viridiplantae; Streptophyta; Magnoliopsida; Solanales; Solanaceae
Source: RefSeq, a predicted model, not a curated record